Molecule: ribosomal RNA, 462 nt
Filed under: uncultured Desulfobulbus sp.
Lineage: Bacteria; Pseudomonadati; Thermodesulfobacteriota; Desulfobulbia; Desulfobulbales; Desulfobulbaceae
Description: bacterial SSU rRNA
Rfam family: Bacterial small subunit ribosomal RNA
Source: RNAcentral
CGGUGGAGUAUGUGGUUUAAUUCGAUGCAACGCGAAGAACCUUACCUGGUCUUGACAUCCCGGAGACCCUUAGGAAACUAGGGGGUGGCUUCCAUCUGGAAGAAAUCUGGAGACAGGUGCUGCAUGGCUGUCGUCAGCUCCGUGUCGUGAGAUGUUGGGUUAAGUCCCGCAACGAGCGCAACCCUUGCCUUUAGUUGCCAGCAGUUCGGCUGGGCACUCUAAAGGGACUGCCGGUGUUAAACCGGAGGAAGGUGGGGGAUGACGUCAAGUCCUCAUGGCCUUUAUGACCAGGGCUACACACGUACUACAAUGGCCGAUACAAAGGGCAGCGACACUGCGAGGUGAAGCCAAUCCCGUAAAAUCGGUCUCAGUCCGGAUUGGAGUCUGCAACUCGACUCCAUGAAGUUGGAAUCGCUAGUAAUCGUGGAUCAGCAUGCCACGGUGAAUACGUUCCCGGGCCUU